CAAAGGAGCAAUCCGCUGAAAGAUGGGCUCGCGUCCGAUUAGAUAGUUGGCGGGGUAACGGCCCACCAAGUCGACGAUCGGUAGCCGGACUGAGAGGUUGAACGGCCACAUUGGGACUGAGACACGGCCCAGACUCCUACGGGAGGCAGCAGUGAGGGAUAUUGGUCAAUGGGGGAAACCCUGAACCAGCAACGCCGCGUGAGGGAAGACGGUUUUCGGAUUGUAAACCUCUGUCCUCUGUGAAGAUAAUGACGGUAGCAGAGGAGGAAGCUCCGGCUAACUACGUGCCAGCAGCCGCGGUAAUACGUAGGGAGCAAGCGUUGUCCGGAUUUACUGGGUGUAAAGGGUGCGUAGGCGGCCCUGCAAGUCAGAAGUGAAAUCCAUGGGCUUAACCCGUGAACUGCUUUUGAAACUGCAGGACUUGAGUGGAGUAGAGGUAGGCGGAAUUCCCGGUGUAGCGGUGAAAUGCGUAGAGAUCGGGAGGAACACCAGUGGCGAAGGCGGCCUACUGGGCUUUAACUGACGCUGAAGCACGAAAGCGUGGGUAGCAAACAGGAUUAGAUACCCUGGUAGUCCACGCCGUAAACGAUGAUUACUAGGUGUGGGGGGUCUGACCCCCUCC
This 622-nucleotide ribosomal RNA is filed under the name uncultured bacterium. RNAcentral describes it as "bacterial SSU rRNA". It matches the Rfam family "Bacterial small subunit ribosomal RNA", at positions 202 to 842 of the family's 1533-position model. The record is from RNAcentral.